Molecule: ribosomal RNA, 1242 nt
Filed under: metagenome
Description: bacterial LSU rRNA
Rfam family: Bacterial large subunit ribosomal RNA
Source: RNAcentral
UGAGUACGAGAUGCUACGGCAUCGAAGCAGUCUAUGUCAUACUUCCAAGAAAAGCUUGCAAUGUCAUAAACAAAUAAUGCCUGUACCAUAACCGACACAGGUGGGUAGGUAGAGUAUACUAAGGGGCGCGAGAUAACUCUCUCUAAGGAACUCGGCAAAAUGACUCCGUAACUUCGGGAGAAGGAGUGCCUUAUUUUUAUAAGGUUGCAAUAACAAGAUCCAAGCAACUUUUACCAAAAACACAGGUCUCCGCUAAGUCGUAAGACGAUGUAUGGGGGCUGACGCCUGCCCAGUGCCAGAAGGUUAAAGAAGUUGGUUAGCAUUAGCGAAGCUGAUAACUGAAGCCCUGGUGAACGGCGGCCGUAACAAUAACGGUCCUAAGGUAGCGAAAUUCCUUGUCGGGUAAGUUCCGACCCGCACGAAAGGCGUAAUGAUUUGGAUACUGUCUCGGAGAGGGGCUCGGUGAAAUAGACUUGUCUGUGAAGAUGCGGACUACCUGCACCUGGACAGAAAGACCCUAUGAAGCUUUACUGUAACUUGAGAUUGAAAUUGGACUUUAUCUGCGCAGUAUAGGUGGGAGACGUUGAAAAUAUUCUUGCGGGAAUAUUGGAGUCAUCAGUGAGAUACCACUCUUAUAAUGUUAGAUUUCUAACUUUGUAUCAUUAUCUGGUCAAAGAACAGUUUCAGGCGGGCAGUUUGACUGGGGCGGUCGCCUCCCAAACGGUAACGGAGGCGCACAAAGGUUUCCUCUGAACGUGUAGAAAUCGUAUCCAGAGUGUAAAGGCAUAAGGAAGCUUGACUGUGAGACCUACAAGUCGAGCAGGGACGAAAGUCGGUCUUAGUGAUCUGACGGUGCUGAGUGGAAAGGCCGUCACUCAACGGAUAAAAGUUACUCUAAGGAUAACAGGCUGAUCUCCCCCAAGAGUUCACAUCGACGGGGAGGUUUGGCACCUCGAUGUCGGCUCAUCGCAUCCUGGGGCGGUAGUACGUCCCAAGGGUUGGGCUGUUCGCCCAUGAAAGCGGUACGCGAGCUGGGUUCAGAACGUCGUGAGACAGUUCGGUCCAUAUCCGGUGUAGGCGUUAGAAUAUUGAGAGGAGCCUUCUUUAGUACGAGAGGACCGAGAAGGACAUACCUCUGGUGUACCAGUUAUCGUGCCAACGGUAAACGCUGGGUAGCCAUGUAUGGAGAGGAUAACCGCUGAAAGCAUCUAAGAGGGAAGCCCACCUCAAGAUAAGUAUUCU